AUGAAACAAGAAAACCUAAGGAAUCCAUUGGUACCAACCGUGUCAUACUAGCUGGUCGCAAAAGGGGCUAAAUAAUGCUCCAAACUUACGCUAAACUUUGGUGAGGAAAAACUAGCAUGUCCAUUUUCUAGGAGGUCUUUUGACCUGAAAAUGGGUUCUAUGGGUACCCACGAGUCUCCCCUUUACAAACAUACCCACUUUAAGAUAAUCCCAUAAAGUUUUGGACAAGUCAUAAUCAAGUCAGCACACUUACACACUGGCAGCUGU
Long non-coding RNA from Sebastes umbrosus (honeycomb rockfish), 267 nucleotides. RefSeq lists it as uncharacterized. The record is from RefSeq and is a predicted model, not a curated record. NCBI's taxonomy places the organism in Eukaryota, Metazoa, Chordata, Actinopteri, Perciformes, Sebastidae. The transcript has 3 exons.